Molecule: ribosomal RNA, 221 nt
Filed under: uncultured bacterium
Lineage: Bacteria
Description: partial 16S ribosomal RNA
Rfam family: Bacterial small subunit ribosomal RNA
Source: RNAcentral
GGGGAAUAUUGCACAAUGGGCGAAAGCCUGAUGCAGCAACGCCGCGUGAGUGAUGAAGGUCUUCGGAUUGUAAAGCUCUGUCUUUUGGGACGAUAAUGACGGUACCAAAGGAGGAAGCACGGCUAACUACGUGCCAGCAGCCGCGGUAAUACGUAGUGGCGAGCGUUGUCCGGAUUUACUGGGCGUAAAGGGUGCGUAGGCGGAUGUUUAAGUGAGAUGUG